This is a long non-coding RNA of Triticum aestivum (bread wheat), 2329 nucleotides long. RefSeq lists it as uncharacterized. Lineage: Eukaryota; Viridiplantae; Streptophyta; Magnoliopsida; Poales; Poaceae. The record is from RefSeq and is a predicted model, not a curated record. The transcript has 4 exons.
AGAGGACACACCAAGCCCUUGGCGUCCCUCUCUCUCCCGUUACUCCGUAGUUCCACCGCCUCAUCCCGGCGACGCUUAGUGAAGCGCUGUCGGUGCUCCACCACCACCAUCACCACCACGCCGUUGUGCUGGUUGUGAUCCUAUCUACUUAUCCUCUCCCGCUUGCUGGAUCAAGAAGGAGGAGUCAUCAUCGAGCCGCACGUGUGCAACCAAUGUUAUCCGAUUUCUAUUUUGAAACUCUAAGAGGGAUCCUAAACAAAAUUUUAACUCCACAAGGUCACCAAGCUCUGCGAUUUGGGGGCGGACCACACUGUUUGUUCAGUGAGUUGGGCGCAGCGUGGCACCCACCUAUUUGUAGGGACUAACCAAGGCACCGUUCAGGUUUUCAUCUUGCUCCCGUCUGAAAUUGAUCAAAUGGCAUGUUCAGGGUUCAUCAAAGUUUAGGAUGAUACUUCAGUUUAUUUUUACCCAAAGCUUCAACUCAAACAACAAAUAGUACAGAGUACACGCUUGGUUGUGAGAAUGUCACCCGGUUGAUGCGAUAUGAAGUACAUUGUAGAAGUAGAACAAGCAGGAAUUUGAUUCAUCCACUUAUAUAUGCAAUAUGAAGUAUAUAUUGUAGAAGUAGAACAAGUAGAAAUUUGAUUCAUCAACUUAUAUAUGCAAUAUGAAGUAUAUAUUGUAGAAGUAGAACAAGUGCUGCCAUGUUCAAUUUGUUAUGACACAGAGGCUGAAAUAUAUACCCGUCGCUAUCCUUUGAAAUAAUGCCGACUUAGGAACUCCAUACUGAAAAACAUAUUCGUCGCUAUCCAGCUGAAGGUUAUAUAAUGUUUUGAGUUCUAGCGCUUUAGAUUCUGUGGUUCCAGCUUCUUUGUGUAAGAUCUCCACUUCCUCAUUGUCAUCUGUUUCAGUUGCGGCAAUCAAUUCUGCUCUAGCAGCACAGGAGUCCAGCCAUAGCCUUUUGUAACUUGCCAUGGCUGACUCUUGUUCUCUGAGCGCAAUAAGCCCUUCGCAAUCCUGUAUCUGGUCAGUGGUUGCUGCGAUAUCCUUUUCUAUAACCUCUAGAUCACUACCAGCUUUAUCCAACGUCUUAUAUUAAGGUACGGAGGGACUAAUUGCCAACAUAGUUCAGGUUUUCCCUUACAGUAUCUUUUCUAUCAGAAUUUGUGGUUUUAGUUCAUAUGUCAUCUGUUAGAGCAAAAAACACGAGGUUAUUCAGGUUGAGUCCCACUCAAAUUGCUUGAUUUUGGGUUCUAAUUAUGGGCAUUGAUAAAUUCAAAACAGAUAGCUUGCUUAGAGGAAUCCCACAUGGACGAUGUAACACAUGUAUGCACAUUCUAUAGAGUUUUACAUGUGCAUGUGAUUUUACAGUGGAAAUUAGUGUUAUCGCAUACUUUUGUUUUGUUAACUUUUUUGCUGGCAUUACUGUCUAAAAUAUUUAGAUGUUGGUCUGGAGCACCACUCAGAGGCCUUGUUGUCGAGUGGGAGGAUCAGAAGUAGUGGGAGGUGAUGCCGAGUAUUGUCGUAUAUUUUGCCUUUUUCAUGUCAUUUUUGUUUAGCAGAUGAUAUAUUGGUAAUUGCUUGAUGACUAUUUGGAUCACUGAAAUGGCUAAUUACUUCAUGUAUAUGAUUUAUUUGUUGGUCUCAUAUAACCCCUUUCUCUGUUUCAGAUUUCUUUGGGAGGGGGCCCUGGUGGAUGUGUGCUAUUUUGCGGAUGUAGGCUGAGGGGGGAUUUGUAUCUGCCAUGGUUGGGGUGGAAUAGAUUGACUUGGUUUUCAGGAUUUUGUGAUCCGGUCAGCCGAUCUGCUGCAUAAAAAAAAUAUUGGACCAUUCUAUACUCUUGGCUGCUUCUCCUUCAGAGUCUAUGCAGUGUGGUAUCCGAGCCAGCGUCAGGUGCGCCAAGCUCGCCGUCCACACGCCUCCUCUUCAUCUGCAUCCGCAGUGCCAAAUCCCUCCCCAUCCGAGCAGUAGAGUAAACUCAUUUCUGCGGCAGUGGAACGAUUAAUGUGCGUCUUCGGCACAUAUGCUGAUGGCCACCGCAACGGCGGGCAGCACGCCGAUCAACACUGAGUUGUUACCAUAAUCAAGGUGGGCGAGAAGAAGAGCUACACCGUGAGGGAAGCCGUUGGCAUGAACGGAUUCGGACAAGGCCGACUCGUCUGGUCUAGUGACACCACGUGGUAGCCUGACCCUGGUGAUGUGGACCUGAGUGUUGCUUUUGAACCAAUAUCAUGUAUGCCAUCUCUCAUGUAAGCUCUAAGACUGCUCCCUGCCGGUUGAUACACACUUGUUAAUAUCUAUGAUGUCAGAGCUCUUGUUUAUUGUUCCA